UUUAUUUGAGAGUUUGAUCCUGGCUCAGGACGAACGCUGGCGGCGUGCCUAAUACAUGCAAGUUGAGCGAUGAAGAUUGGUGCUUGCACCAA
RNAcentral lists this ribosomal RNA (92 nucleotides) under Lactococcus cremoris subsp. cremoris TIFN6. RNAcentral's name for it is "Lactococcus lactis subsp. cremoris TIFN6 partial 16S ribosomal RNA". It matches the Rfam family "Bacterial small subunit ribosomal RNA", at positions 1 to 88 of the family's 1533-position model. The record is from RNAcentral. Lineage: Bacteria; Bacillati; Bacillota; Bacilli; Lactobacillales; Streptococcaceae.